Molecule: ribosomal RNA, 460 nt
Filed under: uncultured bacterium
Lineage: Bacteria
Description: partial 16S ribosomal RNA
Rfam family: Bacterial small subunit ribosomal RNA
Source: RNAcentral
CCUACGGGUGGCAGCAGUGAGGAAUAUUGGUCAAUGGGCGCGAGCCUGAACCAGCCAAGUAGCGUGAAGGAUGACUGCCCUACGGGUUGUAAACUUCUUUUAUAAAGGAAUAAAGUGAGGCACGUGUGCCUCUUUGUAUGUACUUUAUGAAUAAGGAUCGGCUAACUCCGUGCCAGCAGCCGCGGUAAUACGGAGGAUCCGAGCGUUAUCCGGAUUUAUUGGGUUUAAAGGGAGCGUAGAUGGGUUGUUAAGUCAGUUGUGAAAGUUUGCGGCUCAAACGUAAAAUUGCAAUUGAUACUGGCAGUCUUGAGUACAGUUGAGGUAGGCGGAAUGCGUGGUGUAGCGGUGAAAUGCUUAGAUAUCGCGAAGAACUCCGAUUGCGAAGGCAGCUUACUAAACAGCCACUGACAUUGAUGCUCGAAAGUGAGGGUAUCAAACAGGAUUAGAUACCCCAGUAGUC